This 905-nucleotide unclassified non-coding RNA is filed under the name Bombus terrestris (buff-tailed bumblebee). Its description in RNAcentral is "misc RNA ENSBTSG00005026167.1". The record is from RNAcentral. Lineage: Eukaryota; Metazoa; Arthropoda; Insecta; Hymenoptera; Apidae.
AUGCAAAUAAUUAAUAAAAAAAAAUAAUGUUUAUUGGACGUUACUUGAAACUUCGUCAUUAUCAACUGAAAUAAUAAGCAAUGUACCUGUCUUUCAUUUUCGGAUUUAGAAUCAUGCUUUUUUUGCAUUUCAUCAUUUUGUACAGUUUUUGACUUUUCCGUGGCUAUGACGGAUUUUCGUUUUUCUUUGUCUGAGGAGCUAUGUACACUUUCGUGUAAACUGGGAAAUGUUUUUUUCUUUGUGCCAGUAUCUGAAGACGCACCUUCAAAUUGCUGGACUUCGGGUCGAGUGGUACAUAAGUCGGAAGAUCAGUCUGUUUGGAUGCACAAGCUGCAAGUCUAAAUGGAUAUAAAGGUUGAAGUAUAGUUACUAUUGCUUCAUCACAUUCAAUACUCAUGAAAGGAUCGUCUGUAAGAGCAGGUGUUAAAGGCGUCGUCUAACAAAAUAAUAUGAAAGGAAUAAAUAAUAGUAACAUAAAAAUUAUUUAUUAUAUGUUUAUGUAUAUUAGACCACUUACUACUUACUCGACUUUCAACUAUUUUUCGUUGUCGUGGAAGUCCAGUAAUAGAAUGAUCCGCCAAUUGCAAUUGAAGUGAGGCUUUAAUUAUUAUUAAUUUUGUCUCAACCAUAGAUACAUUUUCUCUUAAUGCUUCAUAUUCUUCCAAUGUAACUGGGGGGAGUUCAUCUACGAGUGGAUCUGCAAUUUAUACAUGAUAAUUUUCUAAACAAGUUUUUUUUUCAUGUAAUUGUAAUUGAAUAUAUACCUAGUUUUGUAACGAGAUAAGGAUUGUAAUCAUAAUUUGCAGCAGCUUGUUUUAUUGUUUCAAUACGAUGAAAAACACCCGAACAUAAUCUAAUAGUUAAAUCGCCUAUAAUAUACCUCAUUACUCUACGUUCGUGGAAAU